UGGUGGCGACCGGCGCACGGGUGCGUAACGCGUAUGCAACCUACCUUUAACAGGGGGAUAACACUGAGAAAUUGGUACUAAUACCCCAUAAUAUCAUAGAAGGCAUCUUUUAUGGUUGAAAAUUCCGAUGGUUAGAGAUGGGCAUGCGUUGUAUUAGCUAGUUGGUGGGGUAACGGCUCACCAAGGCGACGAUACAUAGGGGGACUGAGGGGUUAACCCCCCACACUGGUACUGAGACACGGACCAG
This 247-nucleotide ribosomal RNA is filed under the name uncultured bacterium. RNAcentral describes it as "partial 16S ribosomal RNA". It matches the Rfam family "Bacterial small subunit ribosomal RNA", at positions 86 to 334 of the family's 1533-position model. The record is from RNAcentral.